RNAcentral lists this transfer RNA (76 nucleotides) under Caudoviricetes sp. Its description in RNAcentral is "tRNA-Thr". It matches the Rfam family "tRNA". Rfam says of the family: Transfer RNA (tRNA) molecules are approximately 80 nucleotides in length. Their secondary structure includes four short double-helical elements and three loops (D, anti-codon, and T loops). Lineage: Duplodnaviria; Heunggongvirae; Uroviricota; Caudoviricetes. The record is from RNAcentral.
GCUGCCGUAGCUCAAUAGGUAGAGCAAUUGAUUAGUAAUCAAUAGGUUGCAGGUUCGAUUCCUGUCGGUAGCCCCA